AUUUUGUGUAACACUUUGCUUGUCUAAUUCAUAUACCAUACAGUUCGUGCAGCUGCUACAAGACCCUGACAACUUCCCAAAAGGAUGCGUUCUCCUAAGUUGAGGUUUAAGUGUGAAAGAAGAAAAGAACAGCUUAUGUAAAGUAGUUCUAGAGGAAGUUUUAAAAGCAGUCUUGACUUUGUGCCACCAUCCACUGAUGAAAAGAAUGGAUAUCUUGCUGCAACAAAUGGCAGGACGAAUUGAAGCAAACAUGAACCAGUUCCUGAGCUGAAGCACUCACAGUCAAGCACAAUAAGGCAACUGAAAAU
RNAcentral lists this long non-coding RNA (308 nucleotides) under Zonotrichia albicollis (white-throated sparrow). RNAcentral describes it as "lncRNA (ENSZALG00000015724.1)". Lineage: Eukaryota; Metazoa; Chordata; Aves; Passeriformes; Passerellidae. The record is from RNAcentral.